This 79-nucleotide transfer RNA is filed under the name Candidatus Bathyarchaeota archaeon. RNAcentral describes it as "tRNA-Arg". It matches the Rfam family "tRNA". From Rfam's summary of the family: Transfer RNA (tRNA) molecules are approximately 80 nucleotides in length. Lineage: Archaea; Thermoproteati; Candidatus Bathyarchaeota. The record is from RNAcentral.
GGGCCCGUAGCCCAGCAUGGAUUAAGGCACCGGCCUCCGGAGCCGGAGAACAGGGGUUCAAAUCCCCUCGGGCCCGCCA